UGUUGAUGGGGACCGGCGCACGGGUGAGUAACGCGUAUCCAACCUGCCCUUUACUAUGGGACAGCCCGUCGAAAGGCGGAUUAAUACCGUAUGUUGUCAUGUUGAUGCAUAUUUUCAUGACCAAAGGCUUCGGCCGGUAAAGGAUGGGGAUGCGUCUGAUUAGCUUGCCGGCGGGGUAACGGCCCACCGGGGCGACGAUCAGUAGGGGUUCUGAGAGGAAGGUCCCCCACAUUGGAACUGAGACACGGUCCAAACUCCUACGGGAGGCAGCAG
RNAcentral lists this ribosomal RNA (273 nucleotides) under uncultured bacterium. RNAcentral's name for it is "partial 16S ribosomal RNA". It matches the Rfam family "Bacterial small subunit ribosomal RNA", at positions 83 to 354 of the family's 1533-position model. The record is from RNAcentral.